AAGUCGUAACAAGGUCUCCGUUGGUGAACCAGCGGAGGGAUCAUUAAAGAGUGUAAUAACUCCCAAACCCAUGUGAACAUACCUCAUGUUGCCUCGGCAGGUCGCGCCUCCCUCGUAGGCCCUACCCCGUAGGCUCCUACGCGGAAGGCGCGGGUACCCCUGCCGGUGGCCCACGAAACUCUGUCUCAUCGUUGAAUUCUGAACCUAUAACUAAAUAAGUUAAAACUUUCAACAACGGAUCUCUUGGUUCUG
RNAcentral lists this unclassified non-coding RNA (252 nucleotides) under Nemania diffusa. RNAcentral describes it as "partial internal transcribed spacer region". The stretch from base 1 to 46 matches the Rfam family "Eukaryotic small subunit ribosomal RNA", at positions 1786 to 1831 of the family's 1831-position model. Lineage: Eukaryota; Fungi; Ascomycota; Sordariomycetes; Xylariales; Xylariaceae. The record is from RNAcentral.